AGUGAACGCUGGCGGCGUGCUUAACACAUGCAAGUCGAACGAGUAAGUGCUGUAGCAAUACAGAUUACUGCUAGUGGCAGACGGGUGAGUAAUACAUGGGAAUCUUCCUUGAAGUCUGGAAUAACUGUUGGAAACGACAGCUAAUACCGGAUGAUACCUUAGGGUCAAAGAUUUAUCGCUUCGAGAUGAGCCCAUGCAAGAUUAGCUAGUUGGUAGGGUAAUGGCCUACCAAGGCGAUGAUCUUUAGCUGGUCUGAGAGGAUGAUCAGCCACACUGGAACUGAGAUACGGUCCAGACUCCUACGGGAGGCAGCAGUGGGGAAUAUUGGACAAUGGGCGAAAGCCUGAUCCAGCAAUGCCGCGUGAGUGAAGAAGGCCUUAGGUUGUAAAGCUCUUUAGUAAGGAAAUAAUGAUGGUACUUACAGAAAAGACACCGGCUAACUCCGUGCCAGCAGCCGCGGUAA
This 463-nucleotide ribosomal RNA is filed under the name uncultured bacterium. RNAcentral's name for it is "bacterial SSU rRNA". It matches the Rfam family "Bacterial small subunit ribosomal RNA", at positions 29 to 523 of the family's 1533-position model. The record is from RNAcentral.